This 492-nucleotide ribosomal RNA is filed under the name uncultured bacterium. RNAcentral describes it as "partial 16S ribosomal RNA". It matches the Rfam family "Bacterial small subunit ribosomal RNA", at positions 29 to 507 of the family's 1533-position model. The record is from RNAcentral.
AGUGAACGCUGGCGGUAGGCCUAACACAUGCAAGUCGAACGGCAGCACAGUAAGAGCUUGCUCUUACGGGUGGCGAGUGGCGGACGGGUGAGGAAUACAUCGGAAUCUACUUUUUCGUGGGUGAUAACGUAGGGAAACUUACGCUAAUACCGCAUACGACCUACGGGUGAAAUCACGGGAUCUUCGGACCUUGCGCGAUUGAAUGAGCCGAUGUCGGAUUAGCUAGUUGGCGGGGUAAAGGCCCACCAAGGCGACGAUCCGUAGCUGGUCUGAGAGGGUGGUCAGCCACACUGGAACAGAGACACGGUCCAGAGUCCUACGGGAGGCAGCAGUGGGGAAUAUUGGAGAAUGGGCGCAAGCCUGAUCCAGCCAUACCGCGGGGGUGAAGAAGGCCUUCGGGUUGUAAAGCCCUUUUGUUGGGAAAGAAAAGCAGCAGGUUAAUAACCCGAUGUUCUGACGGUACCCAAAGAAUAAGCACCGGCUAACUUCGUG